This 311-nucleotide long non-coding RNA is filed under the name Amborella trichopoda. RNAcentral describes it as "long non-coding RNA (ATRI_LNC002772)". Lineage: Eukaryota; Viridiplantae; Streptophyta; Magnoliopsida; Amborellales; Amborellaceae. The record is from RNAcentral.
UUGUUCAUGAGGUCCCUACCAGGGCUUUGUCCGCCAUGGGAGAGAUGGUGGGGGGUGGGGUCUGAAGAGGCCUUAAAGAGGGCUAAUAGAACAAGGUGGUAAGGCUGCAAAUAUUGAGUGGUGAAUAGAAAGAAAUUGGGGUAUAGGGGUCAAAGGGGAGGUGUAACAAGAGAAAUAUGGAGUUGCAAGAGAGCUUACCGAGAGCCCUACUUACCGGCUGCUGAGUAUGCUUAGGGAAGAGAGACGAGCAUGGGUUUGAGGAGGCAAGAGAGGGAGAUAUUAAUGGGGAUGUAAAAGAGAGUAAAGAGGUA